This 172-nucleotide ribosomal RNA is filed under the name Kodamaea ohmeri. RNAcentral's name for it is "partial 26S ribosomal RNA". It matches the Rfam family "Eukaryotic large subunit ribosomal RNA", at positions 1 to 183 of the family's 3401-position model. The record is from RNAcentral. Lineage: Eukaryota; Fungi; Ascomycota; Pichiomycetes; Serinales; Debaryomycetaceae.
UUCCUCAAAUCAAGUAGGACUACCCGCUGAACUUAAGCAUAUCAAUAAGCGGAGGAAAAGAAACCAACAGGGAUUGCCUCAGUAACGGCGAGUGAAGCGGCAAAAGCUCAAAUUUGAAAUCCCCCCGGGGAGUUGUAAUUUGAAGAUUGCGUCUUGGAGGCGACCGUGUCUA